Molecule: ribosomal RNA, 2898 nt
Filed under: Neisseria gonorrhoeae
Lineage: Bacteria; Pseudomonadati; Pseudomonadota; Betaproteobacteria; Neisseriales; Neisseriaceae
Also listed under: 1 other name
Description: bacterial LSU rRNA
Rfam family: Bacterial large subunit ribosomal RNA
Source: RNAcentral
AUAGAGUCAAGUGAAUAAGUGCAUCAGGCGGAUGCCUUGGCGAUGAUAGGCGACGAAGGACGUGUAAGCCUGCGAAAAGCGCGGGGGAGCUGGCAAUAAAGCUAUGAUUCCGCGAUGUCCGAAUGGGGAAACCCACUGCAUUCUGUGCAGUAUCCUAAGUUGAAUACAUAGGCUUAGAGAAGCGAACCCGGAGAACUGAACCAUCUAAGUACCCGGAGGAAAAGAAAUCAACCGAGAUUCCGCAAGUAGUGGCGAGCGAACGCGGAGGAGCCUGUACGUAAUAACUGUCGAGAUAGAAGAACAAGCUGGGAAGCUUGACCAUAGCGGGUGACAGUCCCGUAUUCGAAAUCUCAACAGCGGUACUAAGCGUACGAAAAGUAGGGCGGGACACGUGAAAUCCUGUCUGAAUAUGGGGGGACCAUCCUCCAAGGCUAAAUACUCAUCAUCGACCGAUAGUGAACCAGUACCGUGAGGGAAAGGCGAAAAGAACCCCGGGAGGGGAGUGAAACAGAACCUGAAACCUGAUGCAUACAAACAGUGGGAGCGCCCUAGUGGUGUGACUGCGUACCUUUUGUAUAAUGGGUCAACGACUUACAUUCAGUAGCGAGCUUAACCGGAUAGGGGAGGCGUAGGGAAACCGAGUCUUAAUAGGGCGAUGAGUUGCUGGGUGUAGACCCGAAACCGAGUGAUCUAUCCAUGGCCAGGUUGAAGGUGCCGUAACAGGUACUGGAGGACCGAACCCACGCAUGUUGCAAAAUGCGGGGAUGAGCUGUGGGUAGGGGUGAAAGGCUAAACAAACUCGGAGAUAGCUGGUUCUCCCCGAAAACUAUUUAGGUAGUGCCUCGAGCAAGACACUGAUGGGGGUAAAGCACUGUUAUGGCUAGGGGGUUAUUGCAACUUACCAACCCAUGGCAAACUCAGAAUACCAUCAAGUGGUUCCUCGGGAGACAGACAGCGGGUGCUAACGUCCGUUGUCAAGAGGGAAACAACCCAGACCGCCGGCUAAGGUCCCAAAUGAUAGAUUAAGUGGUAAACGAAGUGGGAAGGCACAGACAGCCAGGAUGUUGGCUUAGAAGCAGCCAUCAUUUAAAGAAAGCGUAAUAGCUCACUGGUCGAGUCGUCCUGCGCGGAAGAUGUAACGGGGCUCAAAUCUAUAACCGAAGCUGCGGAUGCCGGUUUACCGGCAUGGUAGGGGAGCGUUCUGUAGGCUGAUGAAGGUGCAUUGUAAAGUGUGCUGGAGGUAUCAGAAGUGCGAAUGUUGACAUGAGUAGCGAUAAAGCGGGUGAAAAGCCCGCUCGCCGAAAGCCCAAGGUUUCCUACGCAACGUUCAUCGGCGUAGGGUGAGUCGGCCCCUAAGGCGAGGCAGAAAUGCGUAGUCGAUGGGAAACAGGUUAAUAUUCCUGUACUUGAUUCAAAUGCGAUGUGGGGACGGAGAAGGUUAGGUUGGCAAGCUGUUGGAAUAGCUUGUUUAAGCCGGUAGGUGGAAGACUUAGGCAAAUCCGGGUUUUCUUAACACCGAGAAGUGAUGACGAGUGUCUACGGACACGAAGCAACCGAUACCACGCUUCCAGGAAAAGCCACUAAGCUUCAGUUUGAAUCGAACCGUACCGCAAACCGACACAGGUGGGCAGGAUGAGAAUUCUAAGGCGCUUGAGAGAACUCGGGAGAAGGAACUCGGCAAAUUGAUACCGUAACUUCGGGAGAAGGUAUGCCCUCUAAGGUUAAGGACUUGCUCCGUAAGCCCCGGAGGGUCGCAGAGAAUAGGUGGCUGCGACUGUUUAUUAAAAACACAGCACUCUGCCAACACGAAAGUGGACGUAUAGGGUGUGACGCCUGCCCGGUGCCGGAAGGUUAAUUGAAGAUGUGCAAGCAUCGGAUCGAAGCCCCGGUAAACGGCGGCCGUAACUAUAACGGUCCUAAGGUAGCGAAAUUCCUUGUCGGGUAAGUUCCGACCCGCACGAAUGGCGUAACGAUGGCCACACUGUCUCCUCCCGAGACUCAGCGAAGUUGAAGUGGUUGUGAAGAUGCAAUCUACCCGCUGCUAGACGGAAAGACCCCGUGAACCUUUACUGUAGCUUUGCAUUGGACUUUGAAGUCACUUGUGUAGGAUAGGUGGGAGGCUUGGAAGCAGAGACGCCAGUCUCUGUGGAGUCGUCCUUGAAAUACCACCCUGGUGUCUUUGAGGUUCUAACCCAGACCCGUCAUCCGGGUCGGGGACCGUGCAUGGUAGGCAGUUUGACUGGGGCGGUCUCCUCCCAAAGCGUAACGGAGGAGUUCGAAGGUUACCUAGGUCCGGUCGGAAAUCGGACUGAUAGUGCAAUGGCAAAAGGUAGCUUAACUGCGAGACCGACAAGUCGGGCAGGUGCGAAAGCAGGACAUAGUGAUCCGGUGGUUCUGUAUGGAAGGGCCAUCGCUCAACGGAUAAAAGGUACUCCGGGGAUAACAGGCUGAUUCCGCCCAAGAGUUCAUAUCGACGGCGGAGUUUGGCACCUCGAUGUCGGCUCAUCACAUCCUGGGGCUGUAGUCGGUCCCAAGGGUAUGGCUGUUCGCCAUUUAAAGUGGUACGUGAGCUGGGUUUAAAACGUCGUGAGACAGUUUGGUCCCUAUCUGCAGUGGGCGUUGGAAGUUUGACGGGGGCUGCUCCUAGUACGAGAGGACCGGAGUGGACGAACCUCUGGUGUACCGGUUGUAACGCCAGUUGCAUAGCCGGGUAGCUAAGUUCGGAAGAGAUAAGCGCUGAAAGCAUCUAAGCGCGAAACUCGCCUGAAGAUGAGACUUCCCUUGCGGUUUAACCGCACUAAAGGGUCGUUCGAGACCAGGACGUUGAUAGGUGGGGUGUGGAAGCGCGGUAACGCGUGAAGCUAACCCAUACUAAUUGCCCGUGAGGCUUGACUCUAU